AUUGAACGCUGGCGUCAUGCCUAACACAUGCAAGUCGAACGGCAGCAUGAUAAGAGCUUGCUCUUAUUGAUGGCGAGUGGCGGACGGGUGAGUAAUAUGUAGGAAUCUAACUAGAGGAGGGGGAUAACUUAGGGAAACUUAAGCUAAUACCACAUAAGCCCUACGGGGGAAAGCAGGGGAUCGCAAGACCUUGCGCCUUAUGAUGAACCUACAUAGGAUUAGCUUGUUGGUGGGGUAAAGGCCUACCAAGGCGAUGAUCCGUAGCUGGUCUGAGAGGAUGACCAGCACAACUGGGACUGGGGACCGACCCAGACUCCUACGGGAGGCAGCAGUGGGGAAUAUUGGACAAUGGGGGCAACCCUGAUCCAGCAAUGCCGCGUGUGUUAAGAAGGCCUUAGGGUUGUAAAGCACUUUCAGUGGGGAGGAAGGGUUUAAUGCUAAUAUCAUUGAACAUGGACGUUACCCACAGAAGAAGCACCGGCUAACUCUGUGCCAGCCGCCGCAGUAA
RNAcentral lists this ribosomal RNA (508 nucleotides) under uncultured bacterium. RNAcentral describes it as "partial 16S ribosomal RNA". It matches the Rfam family "Bacterial small subunit ribosomal RNA", at positions 30 to 523 of the family's 1533-position model. The record is from RNAcentral.